UUUAAGCUUCCUCGUUUUAGUGUUGGUGGCAUUGGAGACUGGCUUACUUGCAUGCGGAAUAGGCAAAUGCUGGAAACAGGAUAUUAGACGGCCGAUGGAGAGCCAGGAACCUCGAGGGAUUAUUUUCGAAGCAGCAGAAAGAUGUCAUGCACGUCCGCAACCAAGGAGGCAUGUUUAUUACCAAGGAGAAGAUGCUAUAUGUGAACAUGCGCUACCGGUGCGCAGUAAUGAAAGUCUCGCAAGAACAAUUUGGUUGGGAGCCGUACUUCGACUUGCGUCUUUGGGAUGCGUGGGUAAAGCAAGGACCUCACCCUAAAUGCGUGCAACAGUUCGCGAAGCAUGCACCUAGAGGAAAGGUUAUUUAUGGGCCACUGUGUGACAAUAUCCUUCAUAUUAAGUGAUAUACAUUAAAGGUGUUGAGUCAUGAGGGCAACAAGGAACCUCAGCGAAAAUAAAGUUCAGCAUAGUAAAAUUCGA
Molecule: unclassified non-coding RNA, 477 nt
Filed under: Rhipicephalus microplus (southern cattle tick)
Lineage: Eukaryota; Metazoa; Arthropoda; Arachnida; Ixodida; Ixodidae
Description: uncharacterized LOC119167318, transcript variant X1
Source: RNAcentral